This 5254-nucleotide long non-coding RNA is filed under the name Arachis ipaensis. RNAcentral's name for it is "long non-coding RNA (AIPA_LNC000801)". Lineage: Eukaryota; Viridiplantae; Streptophyta; Magnoliopsida; Fabales; Fabaceae. The record is from RNAcentral.
AAGGAAAUUGUUCGAAACUUUAUCAAACUCAUUGAGAGAAAGGAGGCUGGUGGUUCAUGAAAAUGUUUAGUGCUGAAUCUUAAUGCAUUGCAACAUUUGUGGUGUGAUGACCUAAAUUUCUCAUAUUCUCAUUAUAUAUUUUAUAAAUUAUUUAAUUAUUAUUUAAUUAUUUAAUAAAAGAAAGACAAAAAAUUAAUUUCAAAUAAUAAUAAUAAUAAUAAUAAUAAUAAUAAUAAUAAUAAUAAUAAUAAUAGAAUUAAUUACUUAGAUAGAUAAAAGUACAAAAUGCGUUAAUAUUUUAAUUAAUUUUUAUUUUAAUUUAUGUUUGAGAACUAAUUAUCAAAAUAGAUAUCCAAUACAAAAUUCUUCAAUUUACUGGUAAAUAUUAAAGUAGAAUUGAAAAAAAAAACAGAGAUAUAACCUUUAACUAAAUAAAUUUAUUAAUUAAAUAAUGUUACAAUAAUAUUUUAUUUUUAUUAAGUUAAUUUAAUAUAUAAUUUUAUCUUAUAUUUUUAGAUACAAAUUAGAGUCUAAUUUUAAUUAUUGAUAGUAUAAAAUAUUUUAUAUAAUUAUUUAAUUAUGUUUAUUUUUUUGGAUUAUCAUUUAGGUGAAUGCAAUCAAUAUAAAAGAUAGUUAUUUUUUAUGAUAUGAUAUUACGUCAUUGAAUAUUUGUGUAAAACUACUUUACACUAAUAGUGUAUCAAAAUUAUAAAUUGUACCUUAAAAGUAUCAACUUCGAUGAAAAACAAAGUAUAUAUUCUUAUUUUAUGAAGUAGUAAAAGAAAAAUAAUAAAUAUAAAAUUAUGAGUUGAGUCUCAAAUUUAGAUUCAUGUACCACAGAAAAACACUAUAUAUAGACUUUAGUAAAACGAAAAUAAAUAUGUAAAUUAUUCAUUAUUAAGAUAAUUUUUUAUUAUAUACAGUAAUUACGCAUCGUAUAUAUUAAUUUUGUUAAAAUUAUAUAAUUUUGUCAUAUCAUGAUUAGAAUUAUUAUCUUCUAUUAUGAUCAGAGAAAUUCUGGACAAUGAAUAAGAAUAUUAUACCUGAUAUACACAGAUUGAAAUUUAGAAAUAUAAAUUCUAUUAUAUCUUCUUAAACAACUCUACACUAAUAAUAGCCCGUGCCAUGUCGUAUUUUCUAAGACUUAUAUUUAGGAAUAUAUAGAAUUUUAAUAAUAAUACACGGGUAAUUGAAAUAGAUUAUAUACGGAUUUUUCAAGUUAUUAUUAUUAUUGGAUAAUGAAUAAGAAUUAGAAUUAUAUAAAUAUUUUUAAAAUUAAUAAAUUAAAAUGACUAAAAAUAUUUAAAAUCAAUGUGCGUUAUUAAUAUCAUAACAUUUGAUCAUUUUAUGAUUAGAAUCAAAUAUUCUUAUCAUGAUUACCACGACCGGUGCCAUUAUCAUAUAUUAUUAUUAUUAUUAUUAUUAAAAUGAUUAAAAGUAUUUUUAAUUGAAAAUUGAUAAGUAGUUUAAUAAUGCAUUAAAUAUUGAUUUGAUAUAAUUAUAAUGAAGAUAUAUUCCUAAAUUAGUAUAAUUAUGUAUUAUUUAUUAAAUAUUAAUUAUAAUAUAAUUAUAAUAAAGAUAUUUUGUAUAAAAUAAUUUAGAAUAAAAAAAAGUGUAUUUAUUUUGGAGGAAAAACAGAGUCACGAGAGAUCGACACCUCACCUUCAUUAACCGGAAAAAAACUCAAUUUUAGUAUAUUAUUAAGUAGAUUUGAAUUCCUUUUUAAAAAAAGUAAUUUUUUUAAAGAAAUUGAUCCAAACGGGCCCUUAAUUUUUAUAUUUAAGUUUUUGAUAAUCCGUGUUAGUGUGCAUAACAAAACAAGGCGAGCUUAAAGGAGACUGGUCGUCCUUGGAUCAUGGCUACUAUGUCACUGUCGCUCUUUCAUACUUCAUUUCUUCACCAAAACCCUUCUCUCUGUUCCAAACGAUCCCAAUCCCCCCACUUAACCCUCAUUCUCCGGAAUCAACCCACUUCAUCACUCAGUACUUCACUUUCCUCUUCCCUUUUCACUUUUUUCUUUCUUCCCACCUGCAAAUGUCAAUCCUGAUUUUAUUUUCUCAAUUGUUUACGAUAAAAGUUUUGGUUUUUAUUGCAGGUUUAAGUGUAUCGGCAAAAAGGGAAAAUGGGGUGGUUCCAAAAGCCACAGGGGGCGUAUUGGAAUCGAGUUCGAACUCACCCGUUUCUGCUAAGAACUCCACCAAUCCGAUUGUUGUGAUUGACAACUAUGACAGCUUUACCUAUAACCUUUGCCAGGUUCAUUAUUUUCGCCACUUUUGUAGUGUCUUCUUGAUGUUUACAAUGAUUUGUUUUCGAUUACUUUCACUGGUUAGCUUGAGGUGAUGAUAUUUAGGUCAUUGGCUCACACGAAUUGACUGAUUAGAAGACUUUUUAGUUUUUAGAUGCUCAAUUAAUGAAAUUUAUUUAGAAUUCAAUGUAUUUGGAUACAAUCGAGUCUAAAACUUUGAAUACAAUGAGUUUUGCAGGUGCAAAAUUUCAAAGUGACAUAUAUUUUGGAACUAGAGGGACUAAGACCACUUCAGUUACAAUUGUUCACACUAAUUUGUAACAUUAUUUCCACGGUUUAAUUUGGAAUUUGGGGAUUUUACACUAACAUUCCAUGUUGUAUCACAGCUGUGUCUUGUCAUUAAUCUUAAAAUUUUCUUGUAUCCUUGUGGUCAUGUUAUAUCAUAUCUGUCCUCUGUGUUAUAUCCAUGUUCUUGAUCCUCUUGAAUUGAGGUGGAAACCAACAAUGACAAAUAGUUUGAUGUAGGAUUCAUAUGGAUCAUUUCUGAACUAAGUUAGUCUAAAUUUAAUGAAGUAGGGGUGGAUUGGUAGUUACAAAUUGAAUUUCAAUUCUGUGUUUCCAAUUUUUAUUGCCCACUACGGGGAUUAGGAUGUUGAGGGUUAAAAUUGUGAAUGGAUUGACUGUAAAGACAAAGGAAUGAAAUGUCGUACUGUUCUAUUUCAAACACCACAAAUUAAUGAGUAUGAAAGUAUGAUUCUAAGGGAUUGGUUUGGGUUGCCUACUAAAAUCAUUAUUAGUAUGAUAACCCUCUAAGCAAUGGGGUGUUCCUUUUACCUUUACUCCAUCCACUUAACUCCGCUUGGCUGCAUGUAUGAUGAAAAUAUGCUUCAGGUUGAGUUCCUUUUGCCCUGUUAUCUUUUGCUUCAUAUUAAGAUGAGCCCUUUUUCAGAAGAGUCAUAAAAUUUUUGAAUUUUGAAAUCCCUCUCUCCGGUUUGAAGCAAAAGGAAUUCAACCUGCAGCUAGGGUUUAGGGUUUGAAAUUGGAAUGAGGAUGAAAGCCUUGUGGAGAAUUUACUGUUACACUUGUACAUCUUUUAACUUUUACUGGUUGUGGUAAAACGGUAUUCUAACAUUGUGUUUAUGAUAUUUGCAGUAUAUGGGGGAGUUGGGUUUCCAAUUUGACGUGUACCGGAAUGAUGAGUUGACCGUGGAAGAGUUAAAAAAGUAAUAUUCUUUCUUCUUCUUUCUUUUUUUUUUUUAAUGCUUAUGCAUGUAUACCAUAUUGAUAUUCAUGCUGCAAGUUGUGGGAGAAUAGAUAUUCAUAUUCUUAAGGUUCUCAAUUUACGCUAUGGUCUUUUAAAAUAAUCUUCUUUUUUAUUAGGAAAAAUCCUAGAGGAGUGCUAAUAUCACCUGGUCCAGGUAAGGCUUUUCUUGAAUUUUCAUUUAUUGUCAUAGUUUGAUGUUUAUAUAUUAGAUGAAGAAAAUGAAUUAAUAGAAUACAGUCAAUACACACAUAAGACAUAUGAUACACAAUGUUCAACCUUACAGGCACGCCUCAAGAUUCUGGAAUAUCUUUGCAAACUGUACUGGAACUUGGGCCAACUGUUCCUUUGUUUGGUGUAUGCAUGGGUUUGCAAUGCAUUGGAGAAGCUUUUGGAGGUGUGUCUUCUAAGAUUUCUUCAACCUUUAGCCACCACUGAUAUAUUUGGUGCAUAUAACUGACAGCAAGAUCUCUUUGAUAAAUUUGUAUAUUUGUUCACAUUACAUUUUUUUUGGUGCAAACAUGGCUUUUGGUUUCAGCGCAAGCAUCCCCUGUAGUUUAAUUUCCAUCAUUUUCAUUUCUUCCCUUUUUCUGGACAGUUGAAAUAGGAUUAAGACAUUAUGCCUUUAACCUGUGCAGGGAAAAUUGUUCGAUCUCCUCAUGGUGUCAUGCAUGGGAAAAGUUCUUUGGUGUAUUAUGAUGAAAAAGGAGAAGAUGGAUUAUUUGCCGGAUUAUCAAAGUAGGGAUUCAUUGAUAUUAUUUAUGAAAUUCGAUUUUUGUAUUCUGAUUUGUUUGAUUUUUUCUAUUUUCUAUUUUUGAGUUGUGUCAUUAGUUGGCCUUACCGCGCUGUUAUUUUCAGUCCUUUCUUAGCUGGUAGAUAUCACAGCCUUGUGAUCGAAAAGGAGAGUUUUCCUCAUGAAGAACUUGAGGUGACAGCCUGGACUGAGGAUGGUCUUAUAAUGGCAGCUCGUCACAAGAAGUAUAAGCAUCUACAGGUAACACCCUAUUCCUUAUAUGGGGAUUUCUUUUGAUCAGAUCAAGAAAAGAUUCAUCGCCCUUCUCUUAAAUUCAUGAAAAUAGUGUAAUCUGGUUUUCAAUUUUGAUAUGGAGUUUAGCUGACAGCUUUUGAAAUAUUUUGAAAUUUCAUGGACCUGAAUUUAGAGUUUGUAGAGAUCUUGGUCAUCAUCACUUUUGUUUAAUAUGUGCUUCGUUACUAUUUUGAUGUCCGAGAAGUCAAUUUGGGUAUAAUACACUACAAAGGUACAUAGCAUGAGUUAAUAAAUCAGUACGUCUGUGUAGACACUAAACUGUGCUGCAUAUUAAAAUAUAAACUCAAUUGAGAAUUUGAUGUUUGAAAAGGUGAAUGUACAAAUCAAGAAUUUACUCUCUGGCAUUGAAGGGGUUAUUUUGGUUGUUCAUGCUUUUAUUAACCGGCAAUUCUGUGCUAAAGUUUAAGUUCUUCAAAAUUGCAGGGUGUGCAGUUUCAUCCAGAGAGCAUUAUAACAACCGAAGGAAAGGAAAUUGUUCGAAACUUUAUCAAACUCAUUGAGAGAAAGGAGGCUGGUGGUUCAUGAAAAUGUUUAGUGCUGAAUCUUAAUGCAUUGCAACAUUUGUGGUGUGAUGACCACAUACAUCAAAGGGAAAACAGUUUAAGAAAUUCAUUGGCAAAACUAUAAGUUAGGCUGGAGUGAAAUUGAUUCAUUAUACUAUAAGCGAUAAAUGUGAUUGUUGUAGACCUACAAAUUUGGC